CGGCCCGUAAAGUUUUUGUUUGUGGGGGAAGAAGGGAUAGAAGGUAGUAACUGCCUUUUUAUUGGACGGUAAUCAACCAGAAAGUUCACCGGCUAAAUACGUGCCCAGCAGCCGCGGGUAUUACGUAGGUGGCAAGCGUGGUCGGGAUUUAUUGGGCGUAAAGGGAGCGCAGCGGAAAGAAUAGUUCUGAUGUGAAAGCCCUCGGCUUAACCGAGGAAUUGCAUCGGAAACUGUUUUUCUUGAGUGCAGAAGAGGAGAGUAGAACUCCAUGUGUAGCGGUGGAAUGCGUAGAUAUAUGGAAGAAUACCAGUGGCGAAGGCGGCUCUCUGGUCUGCAACUGACGCUGAGGCUCGAAAGCAUGGGUAGCGAACAGGAUUAGAUACCCUGGUAGUCCAUGCCGUAAACGAUGAGUGCUAAGUGUUGGGAGGCUUCCGCCUCUCAGUGCUGCAGCUAACGCAUUAAGCACUCCGCCUGGGGAGUACGACCGCAAGGUUGAAACUCAAAGGAAUUGACGGGGGCCCGCACAAGCGGUGGAGCAUGUGGUUUAAUUCGAAGCAACGCGAAGAACCUUACCAGGUCUUGACAUCUAGUGCCAUUUGUAGAGAUACAAAGUUCCCUUCGGGGACGCUAAGACAGGUGGUGCAUGGCUGUCGUCAGCUCGUGUCGUGAGAUGUUGGGUUAAGUCCCGCAACGAGCGCAACCCUUGUUAUUAGUUGCCAGCAUUAAGUUGGGCACUCUAAUGAGACUGCCGGUGACAAACCGGAGGAAGGUGGGGAUGACGUCAAGUCAUCAUGCCCCUUAUGACCUGGGCUACACACGUGCUACAAUGGGCAGCACAACGAGUAGCGAGCCUGCGAAGGCAAGCAAAUCUCUGAAAGCUGUUCUCAGUUCGGACUGCAGUCUGCAACUCGACUGCACGAAGCUGGAAUCGCUAGUAAUCGCGGAUCAGCACGCCGCGGUGAAUACGUUCCCGGGCCUUGUACACACCGCCCGUCACACCAUGGGAGUCUGCAAUGCCCAAAGCCGGUGGCCUAACCGCAAGGAAGGAGCCGUCUAAGACAGGGCAGAGAAGGGGG
Molecule: ribosomal RNA, 1076 nt
Filed under: Lactobacillus kefiranofaciens
Lineage: Bacteria; Bacillati; Bacillota; Bacilli; Lactobacillales; Lactobacillaceae
Description: bacterial SSU rRNA
Rfam family: Bacterial small subunit ribosomal RNA
Source: RNAcentral